Long non-coding RNA from Gallus gallus (chicken), 410 nucleotides. Lineage: Eukaryota; Metazoa; Chordata; Aves; Galliformes; Phasianidae. The record is from Ensembl.
CUCAGCCAAUGGGAGCCGGCGGAGCUGCCGCUGACCAAUGAGAGGCCGGGGGAGGGACAGAUGCUGCCGCUGACCAAUGAGACGCCGGGGGAGGGACAGAUGCUGCCGCUGACCAAUGAGACCCCGGGGGAGGGGCAGAUGCUGCUCACGGGGAGCUCCUCCUGCCCCAGCUGGGUGGUGAUGCUGACAGCAGGGCUGGAGAUGCUCUGCAGGACCGGCUCGUAGCUGGCAGCCACCAAUGGACACGGAGGGAGGAGACAGCUGGCGGGAGCAGCCGAGGCAUCCGAGAGCAUCCAAAAGCCCUCACUCAAAAGCAUCACACAGCCACAGCCAGGAAGCUUGGCAUAACCAUGAGCAGCAGCCAGGAAGCUCGAGAUGAUUUGCUACCAUACACAAUGGGAGCAGAGCUC